Molecule: long non-coding RNA, 772 nt
Organism: Gymnodraco acuticeps
Lineage: Eukaryota; Metazoa; Chordata; Actinopteri; Perciformes; Bathydraconidae
Exons: 3
Source: RefSeq, a predicted model, not a curated record
CAGUCUAAACUGUCAUAAGGCUAUUUUCGUUGUGUCAUGAAAUAGAAAUAUUAGUAAUAAUAACAAUGUUAGUUUUGGUGUAGCGAGCUAGCCAGUGUGGUGGAAUGUUAGUUAGUUGGUAACGUUAGCUAACGUUAAGUUUACCUCAAAAAGCACAUUGACUAUCCGAGUCAAACAUUUGCCAAAUUCAACCCUGUCAUAAUGUGCGCUAUCGUUAGCUAACUAGCUCAGUGGUUCUCAACUCCAGUCCUGUUGAAUGUUUUCGUUCCAACCCAGAACUAACACACCUGAUUCAACUGUUCUAAUAAGAUAGGCAUAGCUCUUGAUUAGUUGAAUCAGACCUGUCAGGCUGUCCAAAUGCUUACUAACUAAAUAAUAGCUACAUUUAACAAAUGGAAAUUAUUCAAUGUUGAUAAUACACAUUUUGUUAUAUCAUUUUAGAUUCACUUUUAAAAUAUCUGGGACCACCUGCUGCAUCAGUUGACAAGGAACAGCCAUGCAGCUCAGCUGUGCCGGCUUCCUCAGACCUAGAACCACAUGAAGGAAUGUCAGAACAGCAAGCUGCUCAUCCUGAUGAGAUGACCACUGAUUCCACCCUGCCACUGACCACUGUGCCUGUUUGUUCUGGCCCAGAACCACUGCAAGGAACGUCAGACCAGCCUGCUGCAUCUCAUCCUGAUUGCACCACAGAUUCCACCCAUACACUCUUCUCAGGUGUGUGCCUGAUGAAUGUAAAGAUGUUUAGCUAUAAACCUAAUUGUCCUCAUGCUUU